RNAcentral lists this ribosomal RNA (498 nucleotides) under Urocyon cinereoargenteus (gray fox). RNAcentral describes it as "partial 12S ribosomal RNA". It matches the Rfam family "Bacterial small subunit ribosomal RNA", at positions 848 to 1533 of the family's 1533-position model. Lineage: Eukaryota; Metazoa; Chordata; Mammalia; Carnivora; Canidae. The record is from RNAcentral.
AGUUCUAUAAACAAAAUAGUUCGCCAGAGAACUACUAGCAACAGCUUAAAACUCAAAGGACUUGGCGGUGCUUUACAUCCCUCUAGAGGAGCCUGUUCUAUAAUCGAUAAACCCCGAUAGACCUCACCAUUCCUUGCUAAUACAGUCUAUAUACCGCCAUCUUCAGUAAACCCUUAAAAGGUAAAGUAGUAAGCACGAUCACUUCACGCAAAAAAGUUAGGUCAAGGUGUAACCCAUGGGAUGGGAAGAAAUGGGCUACAUUUUCUACUCCAAGAAUACUUCACGGAAGUUUUUAUGAAACUAAAAACUGAAGGAGGAUUUAGUAGUAAGUUAAGAAUAGAGAGCUUAACUGAAUAGGGCCAUGAAGCACGCACACACCGCCCGUCACCCUCCUCAAGUAAUAACCCUACAACAAUAAUCAUAUUAAUCAAACCCAAAGCACAAGAGGAGACAAGUCGCUAACAAGGUAAGCGUACCGGAAGGUGCGCUUGGAUUCAC